Molecule: ribosomal RNA, 441 nt
Filed under: uncultured bacterium
Lineage: Bacteria
Description: partial 16S ribosomal RNA
Rfam family: Bacterial small subunit ribosomal RNA
Source: RNAcentral
CCUACGGGAGGCAGCAGUGGGGAAUAUUGCACAAUGGGGGAAACCCUGAUGCAGCGACGCCGCGUGAGUGACGAAGUAUUUCGGUAUGUAAAGCUCUAUCAGCAGGGAAGAAGAAAGACGGUACCUGACUAAGAAGCCCCGGCUAACUACGUGACAGCAGCCGCGGUACUUCGGAGGGGGCACGCGUUAUCCGGAUUUACUGGGUGUAUAGGGAGCGUAGACGGCUGUGCAAGUCUGAAGUGAAAGCCCAGGGCUCAACCCUGGGACUGCUUUGGAAACUGGGGAGCUAGAGUGCUGGAGAGGUAAGUGGAAUUCGUAGUGUAGCGGUGAAAUGCGUAGAUAUUAGGAGGAACAUCAGUGGCGAAGGCGACUAACUGGCACAUAACUGACGCUGAGGAGCGAAAGCGUGGGUAGCAAACAGGAUUAGAUACCCCAGUAGUC